UUGUGGUCAAGAUACAAAGGGCGUAUGGGGAAUGACUUGGCACUGAGAGGCGAUGAAGGACGUGGUAGCCUGCGAUAAGCUUCGGGCAGCCGGCAACAGGCGUUACGACCCGGAGAUUUCCGAAUGGGGAAACCCGGCGGGUUUGAAUACCCGCCAGGCAUGGCUGAAUGCAUAGGCCAUGGCCAGCGAAAUGCAGAGAACUGAACCAUCUUAGUACCUGCAAGAAAAGAAAUCGAAUGAGAUUUCCUGAGUAGCGGCGAGCGAAAAGGAAAAUAGCCCAAACCGGCAGCAGCAAUGCUUCCGGGGUCGUGGGAGCCUCAGCCGCAAGGCGACGGAGUUACAAAAUCACACCUAGUUGAACGGCAUGGGAAGGCCGACCAUAGAAGGUGACAGUCCUGUAGGCGAAAGGUGAUGAUCUCCGGAGGAUUUCCCAAGUACUGUCAGCUAAGAGAAAACUGGCAGGAAUUUAGGGGGCCCACCCUCUAAGGCUAAAUACUACUCAGUGACCGACAGUGAACCAGUACCGUGAGGGAAAGUUGGAAAGAUCCCCGGGAGGGGAGGAAUUGAACCUGAAACCAUAUGCCUACAAGCGGUCGGAGCACUAUACCCGUAUGGGCAAGUGUGACGGCGUGCCUGUUGGAUAAUGAUCCAGUGAGUUACGCUGCGUCGCAAGCUUAAGCGUCUAUGACGCGAAGGCGAAGCGAAAGCGAGUGCGAAAUGUGCGUCUUUAGUGACGUGGCGUAGGCCCGAAACCGGAAGAUCUACCCAUGGCCAGGGUGAAAUGGGCUUAACCGCUCAUGGAGGCCCCAAUCUUUCAGCGUUGAAAAGCUGUUGAAUGAGCUGUGGGUAGGAGUGAAAAGCUAAUCGAUUUCGGAGAUAGCUGGUUCUCCGCGAAAAAACUUUAGGGUUUGCCUCAAGUCAUAGUGUGUGGGGGUAGAGCUACUGAAAAGAUCGGAGGGGCCUUCGGGCUACCCCAUCUUCUCAAACUCCGAAUACCACAUACCGUAUCUUGGGAGUAAGACGGUGGGGGAUAAGCUUCAUCGUCAAGAGGGAGAUAACCCAGACCGCCAGCUAAGGCCCCUAAACUGACGCUAAGUGGACAAAGGAAGUGGAAGUGCUAAGACAGCCGGGAUGUUGGCUUAGAAGCAGCCACCAUUUAAAAAGUGCGUAAUAGCUUACCGGUCGAGCAUUUCCGCGCCGACAAUGAUCGGGACUAAGCGUCAUGCCGAAGCUGCGGGUGUGGAAUGGACGGAGGUCCAUCCACGCGGUAGCGGAGUGUUCCCAGGGCAGUGAAGCCUUACCGCAAGGAGAGGUGGAGCGCUGGGAAGCAAUGAUACUGGAUUGAGUAGCGAUAAAACGGGUGAGAAUCCCCGUUCGUCGAAAGCCUGAGGUUUCCGGGGCAAGGUAAUUCCGCCUCGGGUUAGCCGGCCCCUAAGCCAAGGCCGAAAGGCGUAGGUGAUGGGAAUCACGUUAACAUUCGUGAGCCGCAUUUGGUGCGAUGGGAAGACCCAAGAAGGAAAGUCUAAGGUCUGUUGGAUGAUCUGUCGGGUGUUGGGGUGGCCGCGUGGCAAAUCCAUCGGCGUAAUCUCCGGCACUCGAGACGGCGCGGCUUCGGCCAAACCGUACUGACCGGAUGUCUUGGCAAGAAAAUCCCCUAAGCUUCAGCCAGGUGCGACCGUACCACAAACCGACACAGGUGGGCGAGGAGAAGAUCCUCAGACGCGCGUGAGAACUCUGCGGAAGGAACUCGGCAAAUUGGCCCCGUAAGUUCGCGAUAAGGGGCGCCUAACCGCCGCAAGGCGGAAGGUCACAGAGAAGAGGUUCUGACGACUGUUUAUCAAAAACACAGCUCUCUGCUAACUCCGAAGAGGAGGUAUAGGGAGCGACGCUUGCCCAAUGCUGGAAGGUCACGGGGAUCGGUUAGCCGCAAGGCGAAGCUGAGAACCUAAGCCCCAGUGAAUGGCGGCCGUAACUAUGACGGUCCUAAGGUAGCGAAAUACCUUGGCUGGUAAGUUCAGUCGCGCAUGAAGAGCGGAACGGUUGGAACACUGUCUCCCGCAGGGACACGGCGAAAUAGGAGUCGUUGUGAAGAUACAACGUUCCCGCAGCUAGGCGGAAAGACCCUAUGCAGCUUUACUGUAAUCUGGCAAUGGGCCUUGACAUUCAAUGCGUAGGAUAGGUGGGAGGCUAUGAGGACUCGGUUCUGGCUGAGUCUGAGCCGUCGGUGAAAUACCACCCUUUGUGUGUUAAGGUUCUAACCCCGUUCCGUGAAUCCGGGCGGGGGACACUGCCUGAUGGACAGUUUGACUGGGGCGGUUUCCUCCCAAAAAGUAACGGAGGAGUUCAAAGGUACCCUCAGGGCGGUCGGCUAUCGCCCGUUGAGCGUAAAGGUAGAAGGGUGCUUGACUGUGAGACCAAUGCGUCGAACAGACUGGAAACAGGGACUUAGUGAUCCUGUGGAUCCGUGUGGAAGGGACAUAGCUUAUCAGAUAAAAGCUACGCUAGGGAUAACAGGCUGAUCUUACCUAAGAGUUCCUAUCGACGGUAAGGUUUGGCACCUCGAUGUCGGCUCAUCGCAUCCUGGGACUGAAGGAGGCCCCAAGGGUUCGGCUGUUCGCCGAUUAAAGCGGUACGUGAGCUGGGUUCAGACCGGCGCGAGCCAGGUUGGUCCCUACCUACUGUGGGCGGAGGAGUUUUGAGCGAGUUUAACUCUAGUACGAGAGGAUUGGGUUGGACGUACCUCUGGUGUUCCUGUUGGGCCGCCAGGCCCAGCGCAGGGUAGCUAUGUACGGAAAGGAUAAGCGCUGAAAGCAUAUAAGCGCGAAGCCCUUCGCAAGAUUAGAACUCCCUACCAGACUCGUGGCAGACUACCACGUUGAUAGGCCGGAGGUGUAAUGGGUGAAAGCCCUUGAGCUGACCGGUACUAAUCAGUCGAUCGGCUUGACCA
This 2947-nucleotide ribosomal RNA is filed under the name bacterium. Its description in RNAcentral is "23S ribosomal RNA". It matches the Rfam family "Bacterial large subunit ribosomal RNA". RNAcentral also lists the same sequence under 1 other name. The record is from RNAcentral.